RNAcentral lists this long non-coding RNA (233 nucleotides) under Populus trichocarpa (black cottonwood). Its description in RNAcentral is "long non-coding RNA (PTRI_LNC004422)". The record is from RNAcentral. Lineage: Eukaryota; Viridiplantae; Streptophyta; Magnoliopsida; Malpighiales; Salicaceae.
CAGGUGACGGUGACUCUCACCGCCGGCGGAGGAAGACAGGGAAGAAGAAGACGUUCCCGAUCCACUGAUUUUUGGUCUCCAUCAGCGGCGGCGCGUGAGCCCACGCGUCGCCAGUGACGGUGGUGCGUUGCAACACGCGCCGCCAGCGUUCCUGCACACCAUUCCGGCUGGCAGAGGGUUCCUACGCAAUUUCUGGAGUUUUGGGGGAGUGACUUGUAAAUUUCGGAUUAUUU